This 267-nucleotide signal recognition particle RNA is filed under the name Candidatus Bipolaricaulota bacterium. Its description in RNAcentral is "signal recognition particle sRNA large type". It matches the Rfam family "Bacterial large signal recognition particle RNA". From Rfam's summary of the family: The signal recognition particle (SRP) is a universally conserved ribonucleoprotein involved in the co-translational targeting of proteins to membranes. Archaeal SRP consists of a 7S RNA and homologues of the eukaryotic SRP19 and SRP54 proteins. Lineage: Bacteria; Candidatus Bipolaricaulota. The record is from RNAcentral.
CUGUGCUAGGUGGGGGGCUAGCGGUCCCCUACAAUCCUCAACCCGCUCACGAGGAGCCGAAAGAUUCUCUGAGGGAGUUGGCGGGAGGGUCUGUCCACGGGAAAGCGGUGAUGAGGGUUGAGCCCUCUGCGGCGCAUGUCAGUGAAGUCCGUCAGGCCCGGAAGGGAGCAGCGGUAAGCAGACCUCUGCGGGUGUUAGAGGAUCCCUUGACCUGAGCUGGCUACUCGCGAAGCGCCUCGUUCCACCUUUCGAUGAGAUCACGCACAG